UCUCAGUUCGUCGGACAAACAUUCAUCCCAAUCCAACUUUGCCUUCCAUAAAGUCUGCAUAAACAGCUUAGCUUUCACCGUAAUUGGCGUGAUUAAUCCAAGGGGGUCGAAAAUUCUAGACGAUGUGCGCAAAACCUCACGUUUUGUUAUCAUUUUGUUCUUUUCCAUAAAUUCGAUCUGUUGAAAUUUCAAGAUCGCACUAUUUUGUCUUGAACUAUGUCCCAGUAGAAAUCACCUCCAAUUAAUAAGGAUAUUUCAAAUUGCUCUCCAUCCAUGACUGGGUGUGCUAAUUGUAGACCACGUAAAUAUGAAAACUUCUGCGUUAUUCCUAUGUUGUGAGUUUGAAGUGGUGAAGCAAUGGUUGGUACAAUUAAAACUUUAAUAGGGAUUAAUUCUCCUUCUGUAGACUUAAGAUUAAUUGUUGUUUUGUCAAGAUUUCUCACCUUUUUUGUAGUACUUCCAAAUGUAGCUAUACUUAAUGUUUCAGACCCCUCUUUUUUAAUGUCCAAUUUAGCUGCUAGUUCUUCGGUUAUAAACGAGCGCUGAGCUCCCUCGUCAAAGAGUAUUCUUGCAUCUAUACAUGUAUUUUUGUGAACGAC
Molecule: long non-coding RNA, 599 nt
Filed under: Mytilus galloprovincialis (Mediterranean mussel)
Lineage: Eukaryota; Metazoa; Mollusca; Bivalvia; Mytilida; Mytilidae
Source: RNAcentral